This 483-nucleotide ribosomal RNA is filed under the name uncultured bacterium. Its description in RNAcentral is "partial 16S ribosomal RNA". It matches the Rfam family "Bacterial small subunit ribosomal RNA", at positions 30 to 506 of the family's 1533-position model. The record is from RNAcentral.
AUUGAACGCUGGCGGCAGGCCUAACACAUGCAAGUCGAGCGGAUGAAGGGAGCUUGCUCCUGGAUUCAGCGGCGGACGGGUGAGUAAUGCCUAGGAAUCUGCCUGGUAGUGGGGGAUAACGUCCGGAAACGGGCGCUAAUACCGCAUACGUCCUGAGGGAGAAAGUGGGUGAUCCUCGGACCUCACGCUAUCAGAUGAGCCUAGGUCGGAUUAGCUAGUUGGUGGGGUAAAGGCCUACCAAGGCGACGAUCCGUAACUGGUCUGAGAGGAUGAUCAGUCACUCUGGAAGUGAGACACGGUCCAGGCUCCUACGGGAGGCAGCAGUGGGGAAUAGUGGACAAUGGGCGAAAGCCUGAUCCAGCCAUGCCGCGUGUGUGAAGAAGGUCUGCGGAUUGUAAAGCACUUUAAGUUGGGAGGAAGGGCAGUAAGUUAAUACCUGGCUGUUUUGACGUUACCAACAGAAUAAGCACCGGCUAACUUCGU